UGGGGAAUAUUGGACAAUGGGCGCAAGCCUGAUCCAGCCAUGCCGCGUGAGUGAUGAAGGCCUUAGGGUUGUAAAGCUCUUUUAUCCGGGACGAUAAUGACGGUACCGGAAGAAUAAGCCCCGGCUAACUUCGUGCCAGCAGCCGCGGUAAUACGAAGGGGGCUAGCGUUGCUCGGAAUCACUGGGCGUAAAGGGCGCGUAGGCGGACAUUUAAGUCAGGGGUGAAAUCCCGGGGCUCAACCUCGGAAUUGCCUUUGAUACUGGGUGUCUCGAGACCGGAAGAGGUAAUUGGAACCGCGAGUGUAGAGGUGAAAUUCGUAGAUACUCGCAAGAACACCAGUGGCGAAGGCGGCUUACUGGUCCGGUUCUGACGCUGAGGCGCGAAAGCGUGG
Molecule: ribosomal RNA, 392 nt
Filed under: uncultured bacterium
Lineage: Bacteria
Description: bacterial SSU rRNA
Rfam family: Bacterial small subunit ribosomal RNA
Source: RNAcentral